GACGAACGCUGGCGGCGUGCUUAACACAUGCAAGUCGAACGGAAAGGCCCCUUUGGGGGUACUCGAGUGGCGAACGGGUGAGUAACACGUGCGUAACCUGCCCUUGACUUCGGGAUAACUUCAGGAAACUGGGGCUAAUACCGGAUAGGAAUCCUUGCUGCAUGGUGGGGGUUGGAAAGCUUCGGCGGGUUUUGAUGGACUCGCGGCUUAUCAGCUUGUUGGUGGGGUAGCGGCUUACCAAGGCAUCGACGCGUAGCCGGCCUGAGAGGGCGACCGGCCACACUGGAACGGAGACACGGGCGAGACUCCUACGGGAGGCAGCAGUAGGGAAUCUGCCGCAAUGGGCGAAAGCCUGACGGAGCAACGCCGCGUGAGUGAUGAAGGUCUUCGGAUCGUAAAACUCUGUUAUUAGGGAAGAACAAAUGUGUAAGUAACUAUGCACGUCUGGACGGUACCUAAUCAGAAAGCCACGGCUAACUACGUG
RNAcentral lists this ribosomal RNA (484 nucleotides) under uncultured bacterium. RNAcentral's name for it is "partial 16S ribosomal RNA". It matches the Rfam family "Bacterial small subunit ribosomal RNA", at positions 28 to 507 of the family's 1533-position model. The record is from RNAcentral.